CCUAAUACGUGAUUGUUUUUACGUUACCGACGAGAAUAAGCACCGGCUAACUCUGUGCCAGCAGCCGCGGUAAUACAGAGGGUGCAAGCGUUAAUCGGAAUUACUGGGCGUAAAGCGCGCGUAGGUGGUUUGUUAAGUUGAAUGUGAAAUCCCCGGGCUCAACCUGGGAACUGCAUCCAAAACUGGCAAGCUAGAGUAUGGUAGAGGGUGGGUGGAAUUUUCCUGUGUAGCGGUGAAAUGCGUAGAUAUAGGAAGGGAACACCCAGUGGCGAAAGGCGACCCACCCUGGACUGAUACUGACACUGAGGUGCGAAAGCGUGGGGAGCAAAACAGGAUUAGAUACCCCUGGUAGUCCACGCCCGUAAACGAUGUCAAACUACCCGUUGGGGAGCCCUUGAGCUCUUAAGUGGCGCAGCGUAACCCAUUAAGUUGACCGCCCUGGGGAGUACGGCCGCCCAAGGUUAAAACUUCAAAAUGAAAUUGACGGGGGGCCGCACCAAACACGUGGAACGAUGUGGUUUAAUUCCGAAGCAACGGGAAAAACCCCUUACCCCGGCCCUUGACAUCCCAAUGAACUUUCCCAGAGAUGGAAUUUGU
RNAcentral lists this ribosomal RNA (597 nucleotides) under Pseudomonas amygdali pv. morsprunorum. Its description in RNAcentral is "bacterial SSU rRNA". It matches the Rfam family "Bacterial small subunit ribosomal RNA", at positions 452 to 1016 of the family's 1533-position model. The record is from RNAcentral. Lineage: Bacteria; Pseudomonadati; Pseudomonadota; Gammaproteobacteria; Pseudomonadales; Pseudomonadaceae.